AUCUCUUCCCCAUACCUCGGUGUGAGACCGGCCCUCCACAGGCUCUGGCUGUGGAAUUUAACCUGCAUGGAGGCUUCUAGAAACAGUGGUCCAAAGAUGGACAUACCUGAAUUCAGGCAGAAACCGUUUCCUCUGUCACUGGCUUCUUUCCCCACCUCCUAGUUCUGUUUUACAGGUGAGAAUGCUAUUAAUAUCUGCUCUGUGUUAUUCCCCAGCCUCCCUCCUUCCAGAUGAGCCCAGCAUCUCAGCCCAGUACACAUCUAGCCUGAUAGAGUCAGGGGUACAGUAACUGCUAAUCCUGGCCCUGGCUGGACAAUGAUGGAAACCUGGGCACAGCUGACAGGAAAUAAUUAGUUGGUCCAUGUGGAAGGGUCUAAGCCACAGAAGUUUGCAGCAUCCAGAUUGAGUUUUAGGGCUGACAAUGUAGUAAGGUUAGUAAAGUAUUUGUGUCACAUACAUGAUGCCUUGGGUUUCUCUCUAGCACCAGAUAAACAGAGAACAGUGGCACAUGCCUCUAAUCCCAGCACUUGGUAAGCAAAGGAGGGGAGAUCAGAAAUGCAGAGUCAUCCUAGCCUAUAUUCCAAGUUUGAGGCCAGCCUGGAAUACAUGAGACCUUGUAUCAGAAAAUAAAAUAUAAUUGAAAUGUAAAACUAAUUGUGAUAUAGAAUGUUGGGCAUGAUACUACCAGCGAUCUGGUGUGCCUUUUACCUGAUGGCUCAAUCUUACAUAAUUAUAGAACAAUAUCAAAGCCAAGGAUUUGAUGCUGGUAUGAUGUACACAUGUAGUUCCAUGUAGCACAGCCAGGACACAAAACUGUUACAUAUAGUAAAUGUCUCCCUUGCACUAUAGUUGUACAAUCUACCCACCCCUUAUCGUCCCCAUCCCUAACCCCUGACCACCAUGUUGUGUCUUCUAUUUCUAAUUUUGUCAUUUAAAAAAUGUUAUACAAAUAUUCCCUUAAAUUUCUGAGUAAUAAAUAUUUCAUGGUUUGAAUGUUCAACAGUUUGUUUGACCAUUUAACUUUUGAGGGAUAUCUUGGCAGUUUACAGCUUGUGCUAUUACUAUUAUUACUACUAUUACUAUUACAAACUGAUGGGAGGCAUAAACAGAUCAUUACGUGUGCAUGAAUUUCCAUCUCUCUGACUUAAUUCUCCGGGAGAACAUUUGCUGGAUCAUAGGAUAAGUAUAUGUUUGAUUUUCAAAGAAGCUACUAAACUAUUUCCAGAGUGACUGAUGAUCACAUUUUAGGUUUCUCCCAUAUUUGCCAGAAUUUGAUAAAACUUUUAUUUUAAUUAUUUUAGCAGCUGUGUAAUGACACCGCAGUGUGGUUUUAAUUUGCAUUUCCCUAAUGACCAAUGAUGUUGAAUAUGUUUUUAUGUAUUUACGAUAAGUCCUUCACAUCUUUUGCCUAUUUUCUAAUGGGAUUGUUUUCUUUUUAGGAUUUUUAUUUUUUAUGUAUAUGGGUGCUUUGUUUGCCUGUGAACCAUGUGCAUGUCUGGUACCUAAGGAGCCAUAAGAGGGUGUCAGAUACCUUGUCAGAUAACUGGGGUUACCAAUGGCUGUGAGCUGUCGUAUGAUGCUAGGAAUCAAACCCAGGUCCUCUAGAAAAGCAGCCAGCUUGUGUGUUCAUAUGUUUGUUUGUUUGCUUGUGUGUUUUUAGGCAGGGUCUCUAUAAAUAGCCUUGGCUGCCCUGAAAUCCACUCUGUAAACCAGGCUGUCCUGGAACUCACAGAGAUCUACCUGCAACUGCCUCCCAAGUGCUGAGAUAAAAGGCGUGUGCCACCACGCUGGGUUAAGAGCAACUAGUGCUUUUAACUGAGCACCUCUGAUUCUUCUCUUAAAGCAGUUUGCAAAUUGUUUUGUCUGAGAUAAAGUCUUACCGUGUAGCCCUGGCUGGCCUUGAACUUGCUGUAUAGCCCAAGUGGACCUCAAAAUCAGCUGCUGCCUUGGUCUCGGGAGUGCGCUGGGGCUAUGGGCAUGUUCCAGCUCCAAGUUCUUUGUGCAGUAUCCUUCAGAGCACUGUCAGUUGUGGAUUCCAAGGCCAUCAUUGCUUCCACAUGGACAUCAGCCCAAUCUUUCAUUACUCAGCACAGCCACACCUUCCCCGUAGCACAGUGCAGAUGGUUUUUCUGACUCUCUGCUUCCUCAGCCAUUUCCUGACCCCCAGAAUCAGCCUAGAUUUUGUGUCUAAGCUUCUUCUUGACCUCAGGAUAUGUUGUGGACUGCAUGAAAGGUUUAGAAAUUAGACAUCUUUCCCUGGACCCACAUGUAUUGUGAAAAUAUAGAAGCUAGGUAGUUGCUGUGCAUUCCCCACCCUCACCCCUGCCUCUAGUGUACCAACCAGUGUGAUGUGUCUCUUAUCCUGAACAAAUGGGAAAGUCGGUGUGGUAGUCUGAAUGAAAAUGGCAUCUAUAAGCUCAUUUAUUAUUUGAAUACUCAGUCCCAAGUUGGUGGAACUAUUUGGGAAGGAUUAGGAAGUGUGGCCAUAUUGGAGGAGGUGUGUCCCUGGGGGUGGGCUUUGAGGUUUCAAAGGCCCAUGCCAUUUCCCGUUAGCUCCCUCUGCCUCAUUUUUAUGGCUAGGCAUGUAAGCUUUCAGCUACUGUUCCUGUACCAUGCCUGCCUGCCUGAUGCUGUACUCCUUACAUCAAGGCCAUGGACUCACGCUCUGGGUGGGGCUGUAAGCCCUCACAAGCUGUUUCUUUUUCAAGUUGUCUUGGUCAUGUUGCCUUAUCACAUAUU
RNAcentral lists this long non-coding RNA (2739 nucleotides) under Mus musculus (house mouse). Its description in RNAcentral is "long non-coding RNA chr5:92742941-92745680". Lineage: Eukaryota; Metazoa; Chordata; Mammalia; Rodentia; Muridae. The record is from RNAcentral.